UACGUAGGGGGCAAGCGUUAUCCGGAUUUACUGGGUGUAAAGGGAGCGUAGACGGCAGCGCAAGUCUGGAGUGAAAUGCCGGGGCUCAACCCCGGAACUGCUUUGGAAGCUGUGCAGCUAGAGUGCGGGAGAGGUAAGCGGAAUUCCUAGUGUAGCGGUGAAAUGCGUAGAUAUUAGGAGGAACACCAGUGGCGAAGGCGGCUUACUGGACCGUAACUGACGUUGAGGCUCGAAAGCGUGGGGAGCAAACAGG
RNAcentral lists this ribosomal RNA (253 nucleotides) under uncultured bacterium. RNAcentral's name for it is "partial 16S ribosomal RNA". It matches the Rfam family "Bacterial small subunit ribosomal RNA", at positions 524 to 776 of the family's 1533-position model. The record is from RNAcentral.